RNAcentral lists this unclassified non-coding RNA (210 nucleotides) under Hevea brasiliensis (rubber tree). The record is from RNAcentral. Lineage: Eukaryota; Viridiplantae; Streptophyta; Magnoliopsida; Malpighiales; Euphorbiaceae.
GCCUAAACCCAUUUUAUUAACUUCACUGAAUCUCCGAUCACCGGCCAACCUGAGUUCCGGGAUCGGGCACUAUCUAUAGCUGUUAGGGGCUGAAGUCUCAAGAAGUAUGGAGUUUCAGAUUUCUGCGUCAAAUCAAAUCUGCCUCACCUCGUUCAAGUUCCGAUUCCUUCGUCAAGAAACUGAACUAAGUACCAAACGAGGUCGUUUUUG